CGAGAUUCUGUCAGAUUACUCUGAUGAAGGUGGUGUAUAUGUUGCAUACUUGCACAAAGCAAAAGGGUUUGCUAGUGUGUUCUUCCGAAUGGGAACCUUUUAUGAAGGUAUAUUUCGUAUUUUACCUCACAGUUUGUAUCGGUUCUCCCAUAGGGUUCCUUCCUUCAAACUGACUGGAAUUGAAGGAAAAGGUGUGCCAAAGGAUGCUUAUGAGCUGGAUGAAGCUGCGUUACCAGAAACAAUCGAAGAGAUUGUUGUGCCUUCAAACUCUGAGAGUAAAAAAAAGUCUAAACACCAAGCCAUCUACUUUGCUAGUGAGGGAAAGGUCUUUCAAACUGGCCAGAUCUGGUCAUUUUACAGUGGUUAUGAUGAUUUGCCUCUGUAUUAUGGUAGGAUUCAGAAGAUCACUUAUACUCAGGCAUUUAAGCAGGAUCCGGUAAUUAAACUACACAUAAGUAGGCUAAAGGCUACUCGUUUCCCUGAAGAUGUUAUCAACUGGAAAUACGGGGGAAUGCCUGUUAGUUGUGGAACUUUCUACGCGAGAAAAGUUCUAGAAAUAAUUACUCUAAAUGAGGUUUUUACAGCAGAUAAUGCCUCAAACGUCCAUGGAUGGCAUUGAAUAUACCAUUCUCCCCAAAAUUGGUGAAGUUUGGGCGAUAUACAGAUACUGGAGUCAUUACAUUGAUGUGGAUGGCUUGGAAUUCGGUCUUUAUGACAUUGUUGAAAUUCUUGAUGACACUCUGGAUUAUAAGGUCCAACUGCUGAAGCAACAACCCGUUUCUGAUGAUCGUAAUGAUAUGGAACAUAGGUUGUUUAGGGCAUGUACGGAGUAUACUUAUAACGAGGAUGAAGGGUCGGAACCAAUAUUUACGAUCCCAAAGUCGGAAAGGAUCAGAUUCUCGAAUAAGAUUCCUGCUACGCGUGUAACGAAAGAGAUGUCCGGAGAGUUGGAAGACCUUUUAAGUGUUGAGUUUAGGGCAACACCUAUAAACGUUAUACACUGUUGAACAGAGCAAUUGAAAGAAGAAAAGACGGGAAGUGACAAGGAUUCUUUUCUAAUUAGCUUUUGGUACAUUUUUUGGUGUAGGGUUUGAUUAAUAAUCUUAUGACUUUCUCUUUUUUUUUUUUUUUGAAAACGAAAUAUGACUUUCUUUUAUGAUGAUGUUCUUAUAUGUGAUAUAAAACAUCAAAUAUUUGUAGCUUGGUAUGUAGUAAUUUUCUCUCACUUAUUGGUAGUUUGAGUUAUAAUGUGAUGUGGUUUUUGCUGUUCUGCUUUUUCAGACUUAAAAGUAAUCUCUCCGCAGAGUGCAGAGUGCAGAGUGCAGACUACAGAUUCAACCCUACUCAAUUCUUUUUCCAAAUACUUGGCUCUUUGUUUGAUUAAUAAUUUUAGAUUGGUUUCCCGCCAAAAUAUAUAGCCAAUGAACCAACAUUUACCGGGAAAAUGGUUUCCAGGUUAAAUCAAGAUUUACUAAUUUACAUUAGUCGUAGUAAAUAAAAUAACUUUAAUCCUCUUAUUUCAACACUUUCCCGGCGAAAGUCUCUCCACCGCCGCCGAAGAUUCCGAUUCUCUUUUUGUCACUCUCUGUUGGGUAAGGUUUAUUGAUCGAACUGGUUCGUCGACUGUUUGUAGUUGCAUCUGAGUCUAGGGUUUAUACGUUUACGUGUUCUCGCAUAUCCGCCGAUUGUAGAAUUUUAGUUUAUUAAUAUAUAGGGAGGUUGAUUUAGGAAAUAGGGUUCUUAUUAAUUUCUUUGAUUGAAAUGCUUCUGGGUACUUCAAAAAUUAGACCUUUAUUAACUAUUUCCGCUGUGAUUUAGAUCGAUUCUAACUAUAUAAACUACUUGCAGGAACUCUAGAGAAGAAAGUUGUCUUCUUGAGUUUCUAAUUUGUUUCACGAUGGAUGACACUGUAAAUGAGCUUCUAAGAAGGAAAAAAGCUGUCUUGAAUCAUCAAAUCAGGAGUGAUUUGGUUGUAUCGAAUCAUCAGGAAAAAGCUCAAGCUUUCUCCUUGCUACAACAGAAAGAUGUCCCAACUAAAAGUCCCGGCACAAAUUUCAGUGGAAAAGAAUAUUCUUUUGGUUUGAGUAAUUGUACAGUUAAGGUUGGUGAGAAGAGACAGUGGAACGAGUGUGACGACAUUUGCAAUACUGAGAAUCGCAGCAAGUCUGAAGAUGCUGUUGUAAAUUUAAGUAAAGACAUGAUUGUACACAGGAAAAGAAGAGUGUUCAGUGAUAAUGGAGAUGCGGCGGAAGAGUUUGGAAGCGGAAAGCAACUCACUGAGGUUGAUUGUUCUAGAAACCCAAUGUCAAAUGCCAUAAACACGAAUCGGAAGAUGGAUAGGAAACAAGAUGCUCAAGUGGGAGCUGCAGUGGGGAUCUCUGGAAAUCUUGAAGUGGAUCAAAACUCUGGUUUAUGUGAUUCAGGUUCAGGAGGUGCAGUACCACAAAACAUUUUUGGAUGUGCUGGUUUGAAAUUUAACGACUUUGAUAAGCUGAGGGAAGAAGUAAACUUUGAAGUUGGGCAGACCUGGGCUGUUUAUGAUACAGUGGAUGGGAUGCCUAGAUUGUAUGCUCAGAUCAGAAAAGUUUCAGCUCCCUGUUUUGAGCUUAGGAUUACAUAUCUAGAGCCAGAUCCAAAUGGUGAGAAAGAGCUCCAAUGGUUUGAAGAAGACUUGCCUGUUUCUGUUGGUAUGUUCAGGCUUGGGGAAAAUAAGAGCACACAAGAUCGUUCAAUAUUUUCACAUGUUAUUCAUUGCAAUGAACAAAGCAAUACUCUAUGUUUCAGCGUCACUUGUCGUUUCAUCAAAACUUGUCAUUUUAGUGUAUCUCCUAGGAAAGGCGAGACAUGGGCGCUUUUCAAGAACUGGGAUAUUAAGUGGUCUUCAGAGCCAGAUUCUCACCGCAAAUAUGAGUAUGAAUUUGUCGAGAUUCUGUCAGAUUAUUCUGAUGAAGGUGGUGCAUAUGUUGCAUACUUGCAUAAAGCAAAAGGGUUUGCUAGUGUGUUCUUCCGAAUGGGAACUGGUUAUGAAGGCAUAUUUCGUAUUUUACCUCAGAGUUUGUAUCGGUUCUCCCAUAGGGUUCCUUCCUUCAAACUGACUGAAAUUGAAGGAAAAGGUAUGCCAAAAGAUGCUUACGAGCUGGAC
This 3142-nucleotide long non-coding RNA is filed under the name Arabidopsis lyrata. RNAcentral's name for it is "long non-coding RNA (ALYR_LNC001240)". The record is from RNAcentral. Lineage: Eukaryota; Viridiplantae; Streptophyta; Magnoliopsida; Brassicales; Brassicaceae.